GCAUGUGCGUGUGCAGUUGCAGCGUUCAAGCUGCGGCGCCCUGUUCGGAUGUACCUCGAUCGGAANNNNNNNNNNNNNNNNNNNNAUCGGAAGACGGACAUGAUCAUGGCCGGAGGGCGGCACCCGAUGAAGGCGAAGUACUCCGUCGGGUUCAAGUCAGACGGCACGCUGACGGCUCUACACGUCGAUCUUGGGAUCAACGCCGGUGUAUCGCCGGACUUGAGCCCUAUGAUCCCGGGUGCCACCAUCGCUUCUCUGAAGAAGUACAACUGGGGCGCCCUUGCCUUCGACAUCAAGUUGUGCAAGACGAACGUAUCGUCCAAGUCCGCCGUGCGGGCGCCCGGCGACGUGCAGGGCUCCUUCAUCGCCGAGGCCGUCAUCGAGCACGUCGCAUCCGUGCUCGGAGCCGACACCAACGCCGUCCGGAGAAAGAACCUCCACAGCGUGGAGAGCCUCACGAAGUUCUACGGCGACGCCGCAGGGGACGCCCCGACGUACAGCCUCAUCGACAUCUUCGACAAGCUGGCCUUGUCGCCGGAGUACCGGAGCANNNNNNNNNNNNNNNNNNNNNNNNNNNNNNNNNNNNNGGUUCAAUGGAGGGAGCAGGUGGAAGAAGCGCGGCAUUUCGUGCGUGCCCAUCACCUACGAGGUGGCCCUCCGGCCGACGCCGGGGAAGGUGUCCAUCCUGAACGACGGCUCGAUCGCUGUGGAGGUCGGCGGCGUGGAGCUCGGGCAAGGGCUCUAUACCAAGGUGAAUCAGAUGACGGCGUUCGGGUUGCGGGAGCUCUGUCCCGACGCCGACGGGCUGCUCGACAAGGUGCGCGUCAUUCAGGCCGACACGCUGAGCUUGAUCCAGGGCAGCUUCACCGGCGGGAGCACCACGUCCGAAUGCAGCUGCGAGGCGGUCCGACAGUCGUGCGCCGUGCUCGUCGAGCGCCUCAAGCCCAUCAAAGAGGGCCUCGAGGCCAAGUCCGGCGCGGCGGCGCCAUGGAGCUCCUUGAUCGCCCAGGCUAAGAUGGCGAGCGUGAACCUGUCGGCGCAGGCCUACUGGAAGCCAGACCCAGCCUUCGUAAAAUACAUCAACUACGGAGCCGCCGUCAGCGAGGUGGAAAUCGACGUGCUCACCGGAGCGACGACGAUCCUGAGGAGCGACCUGGUGUACGACUGCGGGCAGAGCCUGAACCCGGCGGUGGACCUCGGCCAGGUAAGCUCGCCGCCGACCGGCACGGCACGGCACAGCCACCUGAUUGCUUGCUGCUUCUGCAGAUCGUUGUAGUGUGACUCCAUUUUUGGUUCAUGGAUCAGGUGGAGGGCGCAUUCGUGCAAGGGGUUGGGUUCUUCACGAACGAGGACUACGCGACGAACGCCGACGGGCUGGUGGUGAACGACGGCACCUGGACGUACAAGAUCCCCACGGUGGACACCAUCCCCAAGCAGUUCAACGUGGAGCUCAUCAGCAGCGCGCGCGACCAGAAGCGGGUGCUCUCAUCCAAGGCGUCCGGCGAGCCGCCGCUGCUGCUGGCGGCGUCGGUGCACUGCGCGAUGCGGGAGGCCAUCAGGGCGGCCAGGAAGGAAUUCUCUGCCAACUCGCCGCUGACGUUCCAGAUGGACGUGCCGGCGACCAUGGCUGAUGUCAAGGAGCUCUGUGGCCUCGACGUUGUGGAGAGGCACCUCCAGAGCCUCUCCUCUGCCGCCGAGGUCUCGACUCCCGUGGCAUGACGCGGAGUACGUUGUGUGCAAAAAGUGGUCAUGUAGGGUUUUUUUAACAUAAUACAGACACAAGCAUUCAUAUACAACGCGCAUACACUCAUCCCUAUGAACACGUGCACACACCCUACUUUUGAAAGACUAAGCCGACAUAUCAUCUUGAGAUUUAUGAAGCCACCAUAGACGUUUCAUCGUCGAUGGAAACGUGCAAAUCCUAAAAUAAAUCUAAAAAUAAUGCAAGCAUCAGAAUUUAAAACCUUAUUAACCGGGAUUACCACUGUUCUUCUAACCAUCCAACAGUCGAUUUGCAGGUUGUCAUGUAGGUUGGCUGGCAACUGUGUUAUUUAAAAAUGUUACACCUACGGAUGUACGUGUCCAGCUGUGUUACUGUACUUACGCAAAAAUGUUACGCCUAUAUAGGGAUACUAAGCUACGGACCCACAACCUAAAGAACGUAUGUGUCCAGCUAUGCUAUUGUGCUAAUCUCACCCUCCCCAUUUAAAUCUGAACAAUAAAUAUAGCAAUAUAAUAGCUGGCUUAUAGGCCGCUUACAUGAUAUUUUUGUUUUUAUGAAUAAAAGAGAUGUAAAAAAAUUAAGAGAAGUAAGCUCUCAUUCAAAGAUCUAGCUAUGUACUUACUCAAAGAGAAAUACGAUAAAUAUGAGGAAACAGAAAGAGAGAAGCUAGAAAAAAGUACUAAGGUAAUAGUUAACCUUAUAGCGGUAAUUGCUUUUGGAGGUUGAGCUCCAUGAAGGUCUUCAAAUGCAAAAUUCAAGAUUCAUGAAAUUUCAUAUUUUUAUAUUUAAAAAAAACAGAAAUAAAAUAAAAAGAUAGAUAAAAACAUAGCACACAUGUGUGUAAAUCUUUACGGCAAUAUACGUUCAAAUGAGGCAUGUGCAAAAAACAAUGAGGCUUUUUAACACAUGAUACUAUUCAUCCUCGUAGGCCAAGAAUAUUUCUUUCUUAUAGAGAUCGUAUUUCUGUAACUCCGCCUAUGUUGUCUCAGCAUAGCCGGUCCCAAGCCCGGAUAAAGGAGGAGGGUUGUGAUAGGCGUGGCGAGCCAACGUGAAAAACCCAGCCACUCUUAUGGAGAUGAAACCCAAAGGAAACUCGUUGGGGCGUAACCCUCUUAGCGACGCGCCACAUCAGAACCCGGGUGUGGUGUCAAAUGGGCAAGGGCCGGGCCGUCACCCCCUUGGUGGCGCGUCGUAUCUUGAUCUGGAUACGGUGAUAAGUGAGCAAGGGUUGGGUCGCCGCAUCCUUAGUGGCGCGCUGCACCGACGCCCCGGUGUAGUGAAAAAUGAGCAAGGGUCUUCGCAUUUGACUCGACGAGUGCGGAGGUUAAGGAAGUUAGCCGAGCCUAGGAGGAUACGCUUAGGUAGCUGGAACGUAGGGUCCCUGACGGGUAAGUUACGGGAGCUAGUUGAUACGGCAGUGAGGAGGCGUGUUGAUCUCCUAUGUGUCCAAGAGACCAAAUGGAAGGGACAAAAGGCGAAGGAGGUGGAGGAUACCGGCUUCAAGUUGUGGUACACGGGGACAACUUCAAACAAGAAUGGAGUAGGCAUCUUGGUCAACAAGAGCCUUCGGGAUGGAGUUGUGGACGUUAAGAGGCAAGGGGACCGGAUGAUCCUUGUCAAGCUGGUAGUUGGGGACUUAGUCCUCAAUGUUAUCAUUGCGUAUGCCCCGCAAGUAGGCCACAAUGAGAGCACCAAGAGGGAGUUCUGGGAAGGCCUGGAGGACUUGGUUAGGAGUGUACCUAUUGGUGAGAAGCUCUUCAUAGGAGGAGACCUCAAUGGCCAUGUGGGUACAUCUAACAUAGGUUUUGAAAGUGUGCAUGGGGGCUUUGGCUAUGGCAUCAGGAACCAAGAAGGAGAAGAUGUCCUGAGCUUCGCUCUAGCCUACGACAUGGUUGUAGCUAACACCCUCUUUAGGAAGAGAGAAUCCCAUCUAGUGACGUUCAGUAGUGGUCUACACUCUAGCCAGAUUGAUUUUGUCCUCUCUAGAAGAGAAGACAGACGCGCUUGCAUUGAUUGUAAAGCGAUACCUGGAGAGAGUGUUAUCCCUCAACAUAAGCUUGUGGUUGCUAACUUCCGCUUUAGGAUUCGUGUCCAACGGGAUAAGCGCGCCAAAGUCGCUAGAACGAAGUGGUGGAAGCUCAAGGGGGAGGCAUCCCACGCUUUCAGGGAGAGGGUCAUUAAGGAGGGCCCUUGGGAUGAAGGAGGCGAUGCAAACUUGAUGUGGACGAGUAUGGCGACCUUCUUGCGGAAGGUCGCUGUAGAGGAGUUUGGGGUGGAAGUGGAAGGGAAGCUAAGGACACCUGGUGGUGGAACGAUGAGGUCCAGAAGGUUAUUAGGGAGAAGAAGGACUGUUUCACAUGCCUAUUUCUGGACAGAAGUGCAGCUAACAUGGAGAAGUAUAAGGUGGCGAAGAAGGCUGCAAAUCGGGCGGUGAGUGAAGCGAGUGGUCGGGUGAUGGGGUUAUAGUCCUAGGGUAGGGUCAUAGGCCUGCCCUAUGNNNNNNNNNNNNNNNNNNNNNNNNNNNNNNNNNNNNNNNNNNNNNNNNNNNNNNNNNNNNNNNNNNNNNNNNNNNNNNNNNNNNNNNNNNNNNNNNNNNNGGCAUUCCCUACCACAAUGUUCGCAUCAUCACAAGGAGAGCUGGAGGCGGCUUUGGUGGAAAGGGAAUGAAAUCAACCCAUGUAAGUUCAUUCAGACUACACACCAACAAUAAGUUCUGCUUUUCAGUUGGUACAAUUUUCUGAUCAUGUUGCAACUGUUUGGGUUUUCAGGUAGCAUGUGCGUGUGCAGUUGCAGCGUUCAAGCUGCGGCGCCCUGUUCGGAUGUACCUCGAUCGGAAGACGGACAUGAUCAUGGCCGGAGGGCGGCACCCGAUGAAGGCGAAGUACUCCGUCGGGUUCAAGUCAGACGGCACGCUGACGGCUCUACACGUCGAUCUUGGGAUCAACGCCGGUGUAUCGCCGGACUUGAGCCCUAUGAUCCCGGGUGCCACCAUCGCUUCUCUGAAGAAGUACAACUGGGGCGCCCUUGCCUUCGACAUCAAGUUGUGCAAGACGAACGUAUCGUCCAAGUCCGCCGUGCGGGCGCCCGGCGACGUGCAGGGCUCCUUCAUCGCCGAGGCCGUCAUCGAGCACGUCGCAUCCGUGCUCGGAGCCGACACCAACGCCGUCCGGAGAAAGAAC
RNAcentral lists this long non-coding RNA (4902 nucleotides) under Hordeum vulgare. Lineage: Eukaryota; Viridiplantae; Streptophyta; Magnoliopsida; Poales; Poaceae. The record is from RNAcentral.